UUAAAGAUUUUGUGUGGGUGUGUGGAAAUGAUAUGUUGAAAUUUAUAGGUGUAUGUAUGUUUGUUAAUGUGUGAAUGUCUUUCCGUAUUAAUAGGGGUGGUUCCCUGCUUUGUAUGUGGGCUUGCAACUGGACUAUAUAAUAAUUAGCAUCCAGCUUGGGUUUUGUUGAAGUGUAAAUCUUGUGGGAGGAGACUAUAAAGAAGUGUAAGAAAUGAUUUGCAUGGAAGCUUAUUAAAAGGAGAAGCCAAAAUCAAACUUAAGAAUCAUUAGGAGGAGUAUUAAAAUGGGAAACAAUCAAGGAGGAGUAUUGAGGAAGAGUCCUCUGGGUUGUGUAAUUGCCCACUGGAAAGAUAUUGUUGGGACCGGAGGUACGGAAAGUAAAAAGAACCUUAUUAAAUACUGCAAUCAAUGGUGGCCGUUGUAUAAGUUAGAAGGUGAUGCUAAGUGGCCACUUAAUGGGUCAAUAGAUUAUAAUACUCUAUUACAACUAAUGCUGUUUUUAAGGAGAGAAGGAAAAUGGGAUGAGGUUUCGUAUGCACACAUGUUUUUCACCCUCCGAAACCAUCCGGAGUGGCAAAGGGACCGUGGAAUGGUCCCCCCACAGGACCCCAUGGUGCUCGCAUUUGAGCGAGAGAACAACAAGGAGCCUAGAGGUAAACUGAGGCGGUGUUGUUCGGCAUG
Aquila chrysaetos chrysaetos is the source of this 681-nucleotide long non-coding RNA. RefSeq lists it as uncharacterized. NCBI's taxonomy places the organism in Eukaryota, Metazoa, Chordata, Aves, Accipitriformes, Accipitridae. The record is from RefSeq and is a predicted model, not a curated record. The transcript has 2 exons.